Molecule: ribosomal RNA, 607 nt
Filed under: Vibrio sp. A318
Lineage: Bacteria; Pseudomonadati; Pseudomonadota; Gammaproteobacteria; Vibrionales; Vibrionaceae
Description: bacterial SSU rRNA
Rfam family: Bacterial small subunit ribosomal RNA
Source: RNAcentral
GUGGCUUUCGGAGCUAACGCGGUUAAAGUAGACCGCCUGGGGAGUACGGUCGCAAGAUUAAAACUCAAAUGAAUUGACGGGGGCCCGCACAAAGCGGUGGAGCAUGUGGUUUAAUUCGAUGCAACGCGAAGAACCUUACCUACUCUUGACAUCCAGAGAAGCCAGCGGAGACGCAGGUGUGCCUUCGGGAGCUCUGAGACAGGUGCUGCAUGGCUGUCGUCAGCUCGUGUUGUGAAAUGUUGGGUUAAGUCCCGCAACGAGCGCAACCCUUAUCCUUGUUUGCCAGCGAGUAAUGUCGGGAACUCCAGGGAGACUGCCGGUGAUAAACCGGAGGAAGGUGGGGACGACGUCAAGUCAUCAUGGCCCUUACGAGUAGGGCUACACACGUGCUACAAUGGCGCAUACAGAGGGCAGCCAACUURBGAAAGUGAGCGAAUCCCAAAAAGUGCGUCGUAGUCCGGAUUGGAGUCUGCAACUCGACUCCAUGAAGUCGGAAUCGCUAGUAAUCGUAGAUCAGAAUGCUACGGUGAAUACGUUCCCGGGCCUUGUACACACCGCMBGUCACACCAUGGGAGUGGGCUGCAAAAGAAGUGGGUAGUUUAACCUU